RNAcentral lists this long non-coding RNA (1203 nucleotides) under Polistes fuscatus (common paper wasp). Its description in RNAcentral is "uncharacterized LOC122522977". The record is from RNAcentral. Lineage: Eukaryota; Metazoa; Arthropoda; Insecta; Hymenoptera; Vespidae.
UUAAAUUCACAUAAAUAAUUCAAGACACGUUAAAUCGAUUUCAAUUAACUGUUUAAAUGAUAAUGUAUAAAUAUUGUAUUUCGCUUAGAUUUAUAUACUUAUACUGCAUCUAUUCUUUCCUAUAGAUAUUAACGCACACAUUUUGGAAGAAACAACGGAUCACCCAUUGUUGCGAGCAUACAGAGAUGUUUUGUGGAUGCGAGCGAAACGAACUUGCUAACGUAUAUUUCUCUUGUAAUUAAUAUUAUUUAAAAUUAACAAUAGGAGAUAGAGCGAAGGAGGAAGAUAUAGGCACGAACCUAUAUAAUUCGCAUUAGCAAAUUAACGAUACGAGAUAACAAAGAAGGAGGAUAUAGGCACAGACCUAUAUAAUUCGCAUUAGCGAAUUAUCGAUAUGAGAUAGUAAAGAAGGAGGAUAUAGGAACAGACCUAUAUAAUUCGCAUUAACAAUACAACAUAGUAAAGGCAGGAGAUAUAGGCACGGACCUAUAUGAUUUGCAUCGAGCGAGGUAACAAUUCGAGAAAAAGACGAAGUAAUUGAUAGUUUGAUCUUAAUUUUGUUCGAUCUUGAUAAAAGUCGAAAUGUAAAUUAAACAAAAUCUUUUGACAAUUUAUCGAUGCAUUUGGCUUCGUCUGGAUAAAUCAACACGAGGAAGGCGAGGAUUUUGGAGUCAUCUCAGAACUUUCUUCAUACAAUAAGAGUUAAAAUUCAAAGUUCCUUCAAUGCUCAAUUAUGCCAAGAAUGAAAGGUCCAAUAUCGACACAGAUAACUUGUAUGCGUAGAUUUUUCUUGUCCGAAACAAAGAUAAGCGACUUUGAGUAAGACAUUUGUUUUUGCUCACGAGUGAUCUCCAAAAAAUGUUGUAGAAAGAAAAUUUUAUUGUGAUUUUUAUAUUAUGUAUUUGCAUAUUUAUUUUACUAUUAAAUCAGACCAGGAUCUUUUUGUUUCAUCGGUUUUAAUUCACUUAAUUAACAGUGCAACAAAUUAAGGGUGGUUGAGAAGUAUGUCAAAAGUUACAAACAAAAUGAAAAUUUAAGAGAAUGUCUCUUAUUUAAUGCUUAAGAAAAUAACUAUUAUACCUGCUUUUAAGUAAAUAAUAUUGUAAAAAGCAGAAAUAAUGAAAAAUUCGAAUUCUGAUGUAACUCAUAUACAAUGUAAGUGUGUCUCCGAAUGCAAUUGUAAUAAAAACUUUUAUGUUGAAA